GACAGUCCAUAUAUUACUUAUAAUAUUUGAAUUGAGCCAAUCAGUGAACUAUUUCUUAUCAAAAAUCACAUAAAUAGCAUUUUCUUUGUUCAAAACUUACUGUUUUAUGGCAUUAUAGCGAUGCUGCUGAAGAUUAGCGGACUCAUCCCUAUGCUUGGUAUCACUGGGCCACAAACGCACGUUGUUGGCGGCAAAUUUUGGCGUGCAGCAGGAGAGUCUGAGGGGACAGUCGCAGCAACUCGACAGGAUAUAGCCCAUCCCCUGGAGACACAUCGAUAGAAUAACAACACCCACCCCAUAAAACACCCCAGAAGAAGACACAACGGGGAACAGCCGCGUAGUUGACUGUGAAAGUUGUUAACCUCUGCUGGAAUGCCUCGCAAGUCGGGAGCGAAGAAGGAGCGGGAACGCCGGCGGACAAAAGAGGACUCCCCCUCCAACGCGCAGGCCGCCCAACCCCCCCCUUCUGCCACCACCUCCCCCCUCCAUCUGGUCGAGAACUUUUACGCGGCUACCUGUUUAUGUGUGUUCAAUGCACACUUGGUAAAUUGCGGCAGACCAGGCUCCUUCCAGGAAGCCUUAUCUGAAGGGCUCAAGUUGAACGGCCUCCCCGACAUCCGCCUACCACUAAACCCCCCGUCUGCAGACAUCAUCAGGACCGUGCUCGGUGGCUCCCUCACUACCGUGCAGCCUCCGAAGCCCAAAGCCCAAGUCGGAGCUGGAAGUGGUGCCCCUUCUGACCCCUGACGAGGCCCCUUCUCCCGGCACUUCUUCCUGGGCCACUUCAUCAUCCCCAUCCCCUACCUCCUCCCCCCCCCCCACGUCCCUUCGGACCCCAAGGACAACGAGUCCGGUGUGGCGGACUGAACGGUCCCCCCUGGCCCCUCCUCUACUGCGCAUGCGCCUGCCCAUGUUUUCACACGCCAUUCUUAGGGGGGACCAGCUGGCCCACAUCUACCGCAGACUGAUUAGUUCCCCCACGAGACAUCUGUUUGCCCCUCUUAGUCUGUUAUUUGUAUUACUUAUUUAAUAAACAUGACUCGGGAA
Molecule: long non-coding RNA, 1047 nt
Organism: Eriocheir sinensis (Chinese mitten crab)
Lineage: Eukaryota; Metazoa; Arthropoda; Malacostraca; Decapoda; Varunidae
Exons: 2
Source: RefSeq, a predicted model, not a curated record